CCUACGGGAGGCAGCAGUGAGGAAUAUUGGUCAAUGGGCGGAAGGCUGAACCAGCCAAGCCGCGUGAGGGAGGAAGGCGCAGAGCGUCGCAGACCUCUUUUGUCGGGGGACAAAAGGCCGGACUCGUCCGGUACUGAGGGUACCCGGAGAAAAAGCAUCCGUUAACUCCGUGCCAGCAGCCGCGGUAAUACGGGGGAUGCGGGCGGUAUCCGGAUUCAUUGGGGUUAAAGGUGGCGAGGGCGGUCGUAUAAGCCGGCGGUGAACGCGCGGGGCGAAACCCGGCCGGGCCGUCGAAACUGGGGGCGUAGAGUGCGGCAGAGGAAUGCGGAAUGCGCGGUGUAGCGGUGAAAUGCAUAGAUAGCGCGCAGAACCCCGAUUGCGAAGGCAGCGUGCCGUACCGCCACUGACGCUGAGGCACGAAGGCGCGGGGAUCGAACAGGAUUAGAUACCCUAGUAGUC
Molecule: ribosomal RNA, 459 nt
Filed under: uncultured bacterium
Lineage: Bacteria
Description: partial 16S ribosomal RNA
Rfam family: Bacterial small subunit ribosomal RNA
Source: RNAcentral